RNAcentral lists this unclassified non-coding RNA (323 nucleotides) under soil metagenome. Its description in RNAcentral is "partial contains 5.8S ribosomal RNA, internal transcribed spacer 2, and large subunit ribosomal RNA". The stretch from base 1 to 120 matches the Rfam family "5.8S ribosomal RNA", at positions 35 to 154 of the family's 154-position model. The record is from RNAcentral.
GAUGAAGAACGUAGCGAAAUGCGAUAAGUAGUGUGAAUUGCAGAAUUCAGUGAAUCAUCGAAUCUUUGAACGCACAUUGCGCCCCUUGGUAUUCCAUGGGGCAUGCCUGUUCGAGCGUCAUUUGUACCUUCAAGCUUUGCUUGGUGUUGGGUGUUUGUCCUGAGGGACUCGCCUUAAAGUAAUUGGCAGCCAGUGUUUUGGUUUUGAAGCGCAGCACAAGUCGCGAUUCAAAGCUAUACGCCAGCUUCCACAAGCCUUUUUCACUUUUGACCUCGGAUCAGGUAGGGAUACCCGCUGAACUUAAGCAUAUCAAUAAGCGGAGA